Molecule: ribosomal RNA, 253 nt
Filed under: uncultured bacterium
Lineage: Bacteria
Description: partial 16S ribosomal RNA
Rfam family: Bacterial small subunit ribosomal RNA
Source: RNAcentral
UACAUGGGGUGCAAACGUUGCUCGGAAUUAUUGGGCGUAAAGCGCACGUAGGCGGUUCGUUAAGUCGGAUGUGAAAGCCCUCGGCUCAACUGAGGAAGUGCACCCGAAACUGGCGAGCUUGAGUACGAAAGAGGAUCGCGGAAUUCCCGGUGUAGAGGUGAAAUUCGUAGAUAUCGGGAGGAACACCGGUGGCGAAGGCGGCGAUCUGGGUCGAUACUGACGCUGAGGUGCGAAAGCGUGGGGAACGAACAGG